This 1171-nucleotide long non-coding RNA is filed under the name Bos indicus x Bos taurus (hybrid cattle). RNAcentral describes it as "lncRNA (ENSBIXG00000021064.1)". Lineage: Eukaryota; Metazoa; Chordata; Mammalia; Artiodactyla; Bovidae. The record is from RNAcentral.
CUGAAUGACACUUACAAUGUUGCAGGUCCUGAACUGUCCAAAUGGUUAGUACAAGAAUCAAAUCUGUGAUGGGAAAAGGGUGAAGCAUCACUUACCAAAACUGUAUCUAUUUGUAGGGUGAAAACUAGCAGACAUAUAGUUUUUUGGCUAUUCUAUUUAAUAAUGAAAAAAAAAAAAAGAGUUCGAUUAAAACUGCAAAGGCCUACUUUGGUGAACUAAAUAAAAUUACUCUGGCUGGGAACUAAACAAAAUACAACAAUUAAUCAUGUGAUUUUGACCUAAAGUUGCAAUACAUUUUAAUGAAAACAUUUCUGAGCCUCUGUUUUGAAUCCUGCACUCAGUAGGCCAAUCUAGAAUGACCACAGAAGUGGGCUCUAGUAGAGAAAAGAAGGGUUGUGAGUACCCAGAAUAGUCCAGUCUUACACUUUCCUUUAGACAAGUCUUUUAAAAGUCUAAUAUUCGGCCACCAGAUUUGAGUCACUUUUAUGGAAGGGUUAAUUUUAGGUUAGCUCUGGUCUGGUUGGGAAAGUUAAGUUGUUAAAUGGAUUGCUUGGUUUGCCCCAGGGCAGACAUGUUUCUAAUGUUUGAUUCUAACGUAAUCUGGCUUCCUUUCAGCAUUAUAGAAUGAAGAGGACCAGGGACAAGUCAGAUUCCCAGGGCCUCUGAGGAGCAGAACAAGAUCGCUUUGGCCAGACACAAUCAGGAUUGGUUAUGGAAUUAAGCCAGCUUCCAGAACUGGAGGUGAGACUUCCUGGAUGACUUUUUGCCUCUGGAUACAUUUACGGGGAGAAAGAGGUUGGACUUACAUCAUGCAAGAACCUGAGAUUAUGUGAGGUUAACUAAAAACUCAAUUUUCCAGGUAAUUUAUACUGAAUCUAUUCCUUGAGCCACAGAAGAAAAUAUAAUCUCUGAAAAUGUUAACUAUAACAUAAUGAUUAACAGGUGACACUCUGCCUCAACAAAAUAUUAUCAAAUCAAAUUCAACAGUACUUUAAAAAGAUCAUAUACCAGGGUCAGUGGGACUUAUUCCAGGUAUGCAAGAAAUGAUUCAGCUUGCUUAGAUCACUCACCAUGAUACAUCCCAUUACCAAAAUUAAGGCUAAAAAUCAUAUGAUCAUCUCAUUUUUAUAUACAAAAUAAAAGAAAAUGUAAGAAGUGGAUUUUAUGAAUA